This is a long non-coding RNA of Mus musculus (house mouse), 1191 nucleotides long. RefSeq annotates it as predicted gene, 30903. The record is from RefSeq and is a predicted model, not a curated record. The transcript is spliced from 4 exons. NCBI's taxonomy places the organism in Eukaryota, Metazoa, Chordata, Mammalia, Rodentia, Muridae.
GCAGCUCAAGCCACAGAGGACAACUAAGCAGCUGAAAUACGGCUAAGCUAAGCUGAGACUCACUAUAAGUGUAAAAGGAAGACCGGAGUUAAGAUUUAGACUGGAAGCAGAAUUGAAGUACUCAGAUGGGAAAACUGAAGCUUAAAGGGGAGAGGAAUCACACAGCUAGCAACUUUGCAUGCCAAAGCUCACCAUGCAGAACUGGCUGAGAGCUGGCUGGAGCAUCUUCCGUUAGAUCCUGCUGCUCCAUGGGGAAAAAAAAAGUCUUCUGUGGAGAAAACCAUGAAGAUUUCAGCAGCAUUAUCUGCAUGGCCUGAUCAACUACAAGACUUUGGAAUUCCAACUACAGUAUAAGAGAAAUUGACAGCUAAAAUAAAUGGUGGAAGAAAAGCAUAUUCCUACCUCAGCCCUGCAGGAGCACUGAAGUUCAAAGCCCCAGGCAGAGCUCCGCCUAAGCUGGCUUCAUGAAUGCUGUAUUAUUGUUCUGCUGAGCAGUUACCCCCAUGCCAAGCAAGUCAGAACAAGCCUUCUAAGCUGUGCUGAUGGAUGUUUGCAGAGAACCUGUGGGAGUUAUUAAUAUUCAUGUUCCCGUCACACUUUCUGCAAGUAAAGGAAGCUUGUUUUCUGUAACACAUCAUUAGGUACAUCACCAUCUCUCUGAAAUGGAGCCGGUUUCCUUCCUCCCAAGGUCAGCUUAUAAAAUGGAUUCUUCCACAAAAUUAAAACCCUCUUACAUACACCAGCAAGACAAUGUGAGUACCUCGCCCUGCACCUGUCAUGCUGGAAGCAGCUAUAGCAUUUGCACUUAUUUGCAGUGUGCAGGGGGCAUUACUAGCCUGUUAUUCCAAUCUUGUUCCCUUGCCCUCCCAACUUUCCAAAGUCCCACAAAGGACAGAAGAUGCUGGAAGGGGCUGUUGCCAUUACUACAUGGGAAGAAUGGAUAGUGAGGGGGGGAAGAAAAUUAUAAUUGAUUAUUAAUGUAUUUUCCCACGCCAUGCUGAGAACGGUGUGACUUCAGUGAUCUCCAGCCUUCUGACUAUACAGUGCCCAGUGGAGAACCUGGCACAUAGUAGCUAUUCAAUAAAUGCUUGAUGAAAGAAGAAAUGGAAACUACUGUCCAGUAGCAUACGCUGUGGCUCAGCAAAGGCUCUCUCCUGGGCUCAUUUCCAUGUCAUCCAGCAAGAGCUAAGG